GGCCUAACACAUGCAAGUCGAACGGAUCCUUCGGGAUUAGUGGCGGACGGGUGAGUAACACGUGGGAACGUGCCUUUUGGUUCGGAACAACUCAGGGAAACUUGAGCUAAUACCGGAUAAGCCUUUCGAGGGAAAGAUUUAUCGCCAUUAGAGCGGCCCGCGUAGGAUUAGGUAGUUGGCGGGGUAAAGGCCCACCAAGGCUACGAUCCUUAGCUGGUCUGAGAGGAUGAUCAGCCACAUUGGGACUGAGACACGGCCCAAACUCCGACGGGAGGCAGGAGUGGGGAAUCUUGCGCAAUGGGCGAAAGCCUGACGGAGCCAUGCCGCGUGAAUGAUGAAGGUCUUACGAUUGUAAAAUUCUUUCACCGGGGACGAUAAUGACAGUACCCGGAGAAGAAGCCCCGGCUAACUUCGUGCCAGCAGCCGCGGCAAUACGAAGGGGGCUAGCGUUGCUCGGAAUUACUGGGCGUAAAGGGAGCGUAGGCGGAUAGUUUACUCAGAGGUGAAAGCCCAGGGCUCAACCUUGGAAUUGCCUUUGAUACUGGCUAUCUUGAGUACGGAAGAGGUAUGUGGAACUCCUAGUGUAUAGGUGAAAUUCGUAGAUAUUCGAAAGAACACCAGUGGCGAACGCGACAUACUGAUCCGUUACUGACGCUGAGGAUCGAAAG
RNAcentral lists this ribosomal RNA (668 nucleotides) under uncultured Caulobacter sp. RNAcentral's name for it is "bacterial SSU rRNA". It matches the Rfam family "Bacterial small subunit ribosomal RNA", at positions 45 to 759 of the family's 1533-position model. Lineage: Bacteria; Pseudomonadati; Pseudomonadota; Alphaproteobacteria; Caulobacterales; Caulobacteraceae. The record is from RNAcentral.